CCCUUAGAUGUUCUGGGCCGCACGCGCGCUACACUGACGAAUGCAACGAGCUUAUAACCUUGGCCGAAAGGUCUGGGUAAUCUCCAAAUUUCGUCGUGAUGGGGAUAGAUUAUUGCAAUUAUUAAUCUUCAACGAGGAAUGCCUAGUAAGCGCAAGUCAUCAGCUUGCGUUGAUUACGUCCCUGCCCUUUGUACACACCGCCCGUCGCUCCUACCGAUUGAAUGGUCCGGUGAAGCGUUCGGACCGUGGCCUUUGGACGGUUCGCCGUCUGUUGGCUGCGGGAAGUUCGUUAAACCUUAUCAUUUAGAGGAAGGAGAAGUCGUAUCA
RNAcentral lists this ribosomal RNA (327 nucleotides) under uncultured eukaryote. RNAcentral describes it as "partial 18S ribosomal RNA". It matches the Rfam family "Eukaryotic small subunit ribosomal RNA", at positions 1470 to 1796 of the family's 1831-position model. The record is from RNAcentral.